This 301-nucleotide ribosomal RNA is filed under the name uncultured bacterium. Its description in RNAcentral is "partial 16S ribosomal RNA". It matches the Rfam family "Bacterial small subunit ribosomal RNA", at positions 509 to 808 of the family's 1533-position model. The record is from RNAcentral.
CAGUCGCCGCGGUAAUACGUAGGUCCCGAGCGUUGUCCGGAUUUAUUGGGCGUAAAGCGAGCGCAGGCGGUUAGAUAAGUCUGAAGUUAAAGGCUGUGGCUUAACCAUAGUACGCUUUGGAAACUGUUUAACUUGAGUGCAAGAGGGGAGAGUGGAAUUCCAUGUGUAGCGGUGAAAUGCGUAGAUAUAUGGAGGAACACCGGUGGCGAAAGCGGCUCUCUGGCUUGUAACUGACGCUGAGGCUCGAAAGCGUGGGGAGCAAACAGGAUUAGAUACCCGUGUAGUCCCUGUCUCUUAUACA